Long non-coding RNA from Sinocyclocheilus grahami, 642 nucleotides. RefSeq lists it as uncharacterized. The transcript is spliced from 2 exons. The record is from RefSeq and is a predicted model, not a curated record. Lineage: Eukaryota; Metazoa; Chordata; Actinopteri; Cypriniformes; Cyprinidae.
CGAACAAAACUGUAAAACAAAAUUGACUCAAUUUUAGGCUGUACGAGUUACAAGUGUGAAGUUGUUUUAUCAGCUUUAAAACAAUGCAUACCAUACAAUCAAAGCCCUAUUUUGCACCUCAAUCAUGGAAGGGGCUGUAAACGUUUAAAGGAGGGAAAGAGGGAAAAGGUGGCAACCCCCUCCGAAGAAUCUGGCAGGAAUGUGAAAUAUCAUAAAACAAGAGUCUUAAGGGUCAGAAUUUUUAUUCAUUUCACUGACCGAACCAUCACGGAGCAUUGAAAGGAAGGGAAUUCAGGAGUUCUCUGUGGAUUCACAUGUAUCACGAGAGGAAAUUUAAAGGGAAGGAGAGAAAAGGUGAACAAAGGGGGAAGGCGAGAAGAGGGAGAGGAGUGACAAAGGAAAAGAAACAAUAGAAAAAGGCACUUCUACUCUUUCAGUAACCAGUCUGAUGCACCAAUCUCUGGAAUUAAAACUAAAUAUAUUUACUGCAACCCAACCACACCCAACAGAGAGAGCAUGUAAACAAAGCCGGUUUCUCUGUACAACACCGACCAGACUCGCUUCUGUCUGUGGGAGCGCCGGGAGUCCCGAACGUAAAACGUGUGCGUAUGGACAGUCUCAUCUACCGGUCUUCACUCACGU